UACAUGGGGUGCAACCGUUGCUCGGAAUUAUUGGGCGUAAAGCGCGCGUAGGCGGUUACUUAAGUCGGAUGUGAAAGCCCUCGGCUUAACUGAGGAAGUGCACCCGAAACUGAGUAGCUAGAGUACGAAAGAGGGUCGCGGAAUUCCCGGUGUAGAGGUGAAAUUCGUAGAUAUCGGGAGGAACACCAGUGGCGAAGGCGGCGACCUGGGCCAAUACUGACGCUGAGGUGCGAAAGCGUGGGGAGCAAACAGG
Molecule: ribosomal RNA, 253 nt
Filed under: uncultured bacterium
Lineage: Bacteria
Description: partial 16S ribosomal RNA
Rfam family: Bacterial small subunit ribosomal RNA
Source: RNAcentral